UUUACAAUAAAAAGUCGGUCCUGCCCGGUGAUGCUAUAUUAAACGGUCGCAACGAGAGUUGUGUUAAAGUAGCGCGAUAAUUUGUCUUUUAAUUGGAGAAUGGUAUGAAUGGUCUGACGAGGGUUAGUUGUCUCUAAGAAAAAUUUGUGAAAUUUCCAUUUAAAUGAAAAGGUUUAAAUAUUUAUAAAAGACGAGAAGACCCUGUCGAGCUUUAUUAAUUUAAUUAUUUUUUAGUACAUAAGUAAAUUAAAAGAAAAGUAAUUAAAUGAAUGUUAGUUGGGGAGGGUUGAGCCUAAAAUAGUAGGCUAGCAGAGACAGAGAUCCCUUUUGAAGGAUAGCCGGCAAAAGUUACCGCAGGGAUAACAGCGUAAUCUCCCCUGAGAGUUCGUAUUGAGGGGGAGGUUUGCGACCUCGAUGUUGGAUUAGGGACACUGCUUGGUGCAGCAGCUAAGCAAAGUGAGACUGUUCGUCUUUUAAAACCCUACAUGAUCUGAGUUCAGACCGGA
RNAcentral lists this ribosomal RNA (506 nucleotides) under Tapes platyptycha. RNAcentral's name for it is "partial large subunit ribosomal RNA". It matches the Rfam family "Bacterial large subunit ribosomal RNA", at positions 1839 to 2620 of the family's 2925-position model. Lineage: Eukaryota; Metazoa; Mollusca; Bivalvia; Venerida; Veneridae. The record is from RNAcentral.